This 305-nucleotide ribosomal RNA is filed under the name uncultured bacterium. RNAcentral's name for it is "bacterial SSU rRNA". It matches the Rfam family "Bacterial small subunit ribosomal RNA", at positions 338 to 641 of the family's 1533-position model. The record is from RNAcentral.
CCUACGGGACGCAGCAGUGAGGAAUAUUGGUCAAUGGCCGGAAGGCUGAACCAGCCAUGCCGCGUGAAGGUCAGUGCCCUAUGGGCGUUAAACUUCUUUUGUGCGGGAGCAAUAAUGGUCACGUGUGGCCAGACGAGAGUACCGUACGAAUAAGCAUCGGCUAACUCCGUGCCAGCAGCCGCGGUAAUACGGGGGAUGCAAGCGUUAUCCGGAUUUAUUGGGUUUAAAGGGUGCGUAGACGGGAAAUUAAGUUAGUUGUGAAAUCCCUCGGCUUAACUGAGGAACUGCAACUAAAACUGGUUUUU